Molecule: long non-coding RNA, 133 nt
Filed under: Coturnix japonica (Japanese quail)
Lineage: Eukaryota; Metazoa; Chordata; Aves; Galliformes; Phasianidae
Description: lncRNA (ENSCJPG00005003634.1)
Source: RNAcentral
UUACGGAUGGGGAAGUGUUAGAGCUUCACAGGGGCAGGCACUACUUGUAAGGUGCUCAAUGGUAAGUAUUGAUCAGCAGUCUUUCCCAUGAACACGUUAAUCAACUGGAGUGGUGAACAGAGGAACAAGGAGG